This 514-nucleotide ribosomal RNA is filed under the name uncultured microorganism. RNAcentral describes it as "bacterial SSU rRNA". It matches the Rfam family "Bacterial small subunit ribosomal RNA", at positions 9 to 506 of the family's 1533-position model. The record is from RNAcentral.
GAGUUUGAUCCUGGCUCAGGAUGAACGCUGGCGGCGUGCCUAAUACAUGCAAGUCGAGCGAACAGACGAGGAGCUUGCUCCUCUGACGUUAGCGGCGGACGGGUGAGUAACACGUGGAUAACCUACCUAUAAGACUGGGAUAACUUCGGGAAACCGGAGCUAAUACCGAAUAAUAUAUUGAACCGCAUGGUUCAAUAGUGAAAAACGGUUUUGCUGUCACUUAUAGAUGGAUCCGCGCCGCAUUAGCUAGUUGGUAGGGUAACGGCUUACCAAGGCGACGAUGCGUAGCCGACCUGAGAGGGUGAUCGGCCACACUGGAACUGAGACACGGUCCAGACUCCUACGGGAGGCAGCAGUAGGGAAUCUUCCGCAAUGGGCGAAAGCCUGACGGAGCAACGCCGCGUGAGUGAUGAAGGUCUUCGGAUCGUAAAACUCUGUUAUUAGGGAAGAACAAAUGUGUAAGUAACUAUGCAGUCUUGACGGUACCUAAUCAGAAAGCCACGGCUAACUACGU